GAUGAACGCUGGCGGCGUGCCUAAUACAUGCAAGUCGAGCGAACGGACGAGGAGCUUGCUCCUUUGACGUUAGCGGCGGACGGGUGAGUAACACGUGGGUAACCUACCUAUAAGACUGGGAUAACUUCGGGAAACCGGAGCUAAUACCGGAUAAUAUUUCGAACCGCAUGGUUCGAUAGUGAAAGAUGGCUUUGCUAUCACUUAUAGAUGGACCUGCGCCGUAUUAGCUAGUUGGUAAGGUAACGGCUUACCAAGGCAACGAUACGUAGCCGACCUGAGAGGGUGAUCGGCCACACUGGAACUGAGACACGGUCCAGACUCCUACGGGAGGCAGCAGUAGGGAAUCUUCCGCAAUGGGCGAAAGCCUGACGGAGCAACGCCGCGUGAGUGAUGAAGGUCUUCGGAUCGUAAAACUCUGUUAUUAGGGAAGAACAAACGUGUAAGUAACUGUGCACGUCUUGACGGUACCUAAUCAGAAAGCCACGGCUAACUACGUG
This 497-nucleotide ribosomal RNA is filed under the name uncultured bacterium. RNAcentral describes it as "partial 16S ribosomal RNA". It matches the Rfam family "Bacterial small subunit ribosomal RNA", at positions 28 to 507 of the family's 1533-position model. The record is from RNAcentral.